UCAUAGAGUCUCAGACAUGUAGGACUCAUAGUCUACGAGCAUUAGGACUCUUCAUCAGCCAUCAGAUCAGAUAGGAACCUCUAAUGUGUGUGACCCCGCAGGUUCGAACCUAAACUGGUAGCACAGGAACCAAUUCCUGUACUAAUCAAAGUGACCAUCUAGCAAUGGUACCCGAUGUUCGGAUAGGUUGAAUAGUCACAAUCACAACACUCAGAACC
RNAcentral lists this long non-coding RNA (218 nucleotides) under Elaeis guineensis (African oil palm). Its description in RNAcentral is "long non-coding RNA (EGUI_LNC081021)". The record is from RNAcentral. Lineage: Eukaryota; Viridiplantae; Streptophyta; Magnoliopsida; Arecales; Arecaceae.